Molecule: long non-coding RNA, 109 nt
Organism: Trichoplusia ni (cabbage looper)
Lineage: Eukaryota; Metazoa; Arthropoda; Insecta; Lepidoptera; Noctuidae
Exons: 3
Source: RefSeq, a predicted model, not a curated record
CGGAGAAAAUGAAAAUAAUUCAUUUGGUAGCAACGAGCGGAAUUGGAGUGGAGAAAACGAAAAUGUACAAACCGGCAGUGACGAGCGGAAUUGGAGUGGAGAAGACGAA